RNAcentral lists this ribosomal RNA (467 nucleotides) under uncultured bacterium. Its description in RNAcentral is "partial 16S ribosomal RNA". It matches the Rfam family "Bacterial small subunit ribosomal RNA", at positions 28 to 507 of the family's 1533-position model. The record is from RNAcentral.
GACGAACGCUGGCGGCGUGCUUAACACAUGCAAGUCGAACGGUAAGGCCCUGCUUUUGUGGGGUGCUCGAGUGGCGAACGGGUGAGUAACACGUGAGUAACCUGCCCUUGACUUUGGGAUAACUUCAGGAAACUGGGGCUAUACCGGAUAGGAGCUCCUGCUGCAUGGUGGGGGUUGGAAAGUUUCGGCGGUUGGGGAUGGACUCGCGGCUUAUCAGCUUGUUGGUGGGGUAGUGGCUUACCAAGGCUUUGACGGGUAGCCGGCCUGAGAGGGUGACCGGCCACAUUGGGACUGAGAUACGGCCCAGACUCCUACGGGAGGCAGCAGUGGGGAAUAUUGCACAAUGGGCGGAAGCCUGAUGCAGCAACGCCGCGUGCGGGAUGACGGCCUUCGGGUUGUAAACCGCUUUCGCCUGUGACGAAGCGUGAGUGACGGUAAUGGGUAAAGAAGCACCGGCUAACUACGUG